RNAcentral lists this ribosomal RNA (520 nucleotides) under Salmonella enterica subsp. enterica serovar Typhimurium. RNAcentral's name for it is "partial 23S ribosomal RNA". It matches the Rfam family "Bacterial large subunit ribosomal RNA", at positions 1732 to 2621 of the family's 2925-position model. Lineage: Bacteria; Pseudomonadati; Pseudomonadota; Gammaproteobacteria; Enterobacterales; Enterobacteriaceae. The record is from RNAcentral.
AUUUUUGUUAUUACUACAUUAUUAUAAAAUACGUCUUGUAUAACUCAGGAAUCUAACAACUGUUUAUUAAAAACAUUUCCUGUUUGUUAACAGGUAGUCUUUGCUCAAUGAUAGUUUAAAUGGCUGCAGUAUUCUGACUGUACGAAGGUAGCAUAAUUACUUGUCUAAUUAUUUUAGAAUUGUUUGAAUAAGUUAAUGUUUGGAUUUUGUAUUAUUAGGUGAUAGUUUAAUUUAAAUUUUCUGUAAAGAUGCAGUUUAUAUUUUAAAGACUAAAAGACCCUACAGAGCUUGUUAGUAUUAUAAAUAAUUAUUUUAGAUGGGGUAUCUUCUCUUUAGUUAAGAGUGUGUUUGUUAUAAAGCUUCCUUAGGGAUAACAGGGAGAUAUCUUUUGGGAGCUCGUAUCUAAAAAGUUUGUUUCUACCUCGAUGUUGAAUUAUGGUUUAGCUAAGGAGUAGGUGCUUUGUGUUGCUUAAGUCUGUUCGACUUUUAAUACCAUUCGUGAUUUGAGUUUAGACCGAUG